This 73-nucleotide transfer RNA is filed under the name Nocardiopsis composta. It matches the Rfam family "tRNA". Rfam says of the family: Transfer RNA (tRNA) molecules are approximately 80 nucleotides in length. Their secondary structure includes four short double-helical elements and three loops (D, anti-codon, and T loops). The record is from Rfam by way of RNAcentral. Lineage: Bacteria; Bacillati; Actinomycetota; Actinomycetes; Streptosporangiales; Nocardiopsidaceae.
CGGCGUGUAGCUCAACAGCCAGAGCGCCCGGCUUGGGACCGGGAAGGUGCGGGGGCAGGACCCGCCACGCCGG